Molecule: ribosomal RNA, 253 nt
Filed under: uncultured bacterium
Lineage: Bacteria
Description: partial 16S ribosomal RNA
Rfam family: Bacterial small subunit ribosomal RNA
Source: RNAcentral
UAUGUAGGGGGCAAGCGUUGUCCGGAUUUAUUGGGCGUAAAGAGCGUGUAGGCGGCCAGGUAGGUCGGUUGUGAAAACUGGAGGCUCAACCUUCAGACGUCGACCGAAACCAUCUGGCUAGAGUCCGGGAGAGGAGAGUGGAAUUCCUGGUGUAGCGGUGAAAUGCGCAGAUAUCAGGAAGAACACCCGUGGCGAAGGCGGCUCUCUGGGACGGUACUGACGCUGAGACGCGAAAGCGUGGGGAGCGAACAGG